This 497-nucleotide ribosomal RNA is filed under the name uncultured bacterium. RNAcentral's name for it is "partial 16S ribosomal RNA". It matches the Rfam family "Bacterial small subunit ribosomal RNA", at positions 28 to 507 of the family's 1533-position model. The record is from RNAcentral.
GAUGAACGCUGGCGGCGUGCCUAAUACAUGCAAGUCGAGCGAACAGACGAGGAGCUUGCUCCUCUGACGUUAGCGGCGGACGGGUGAGUAACACGUGGAUAACCUACCUAUAAGACUGGGAUAACUUCGGGAAACCGGAGCUAAUACCGGAUAAUAUAUUGAACCGCAUGGUUCAAUAGUGAAAGACGGUUUUGCUGUCACUUAUAGAUGGAUCCGCGCCGCAUUAGCUAGUUGGUAAGGUAACGGCUUACCAAGGCAACGAUGCGUAGCCGACCUGAGAGGGUGAUCGGCCACACUGGAACGGAGACACGGUCCAGACUCCUACGGGAGGCAGCAGUAGGGAAUCUUCCGCAAUGGGCGAAAGCCUGACGGAGCAACGCCGCGUGAGUGAUGAAGGUCUUCGGAUCGUAAAACUCUGUUAUUAAGGAAGAACAAAUGUGUAAGUAACUAUGCACGUCUUGACGGUACCUAAUCAGAAAGCCACGGCUAACUACGUG